GGCAGUAUAGUAUAGUGGUAAGGAGCAGAGCUUGUAACUGAAAGGUUGCUGGUUCAAUUCUCUGCUGCUGCUG
This is a non-coding RNA of Megalops atlanticus (tarpon), 73 nucleotides long. The record is from the annotation of a GenBank genome assembly. NCBI's taxonomy places the organism in Eukaryota, Metazoa, Chordata, Actinopteri, Elopiformes, Megalopidae.